GCUAAAUCCCCAGCCCCCAGGCAGAGACUCUUAGUAGAUGACAAACCUGCGGACACCUCGACCCAGCCCUCUCGGAGUCCAGAGCCUGAGAAACACCUUUCUGCCGUCUACAAAGUACCCGGUCUGCUAUUUUGUAACAACGGCCCCAACAGACGGAGACAACAGGGAAAUAAUGAAGUCUCAGGAAAAGUAAAACCCGUUUCCGGCCGCCCGCCCAGCUCAGCUCCCGCGGAGGGUGUGCGCACCCACAGUCCCCAUCUCCCUCGCAGGAGCAGCACAAAGGUUGCGGGGGGAUCAGACGGCAGGACCACCCCAGUCCCGGCCCCGCGGAGCCCCGCAGCCCGAUGGCGGCCCCGGGUCGGCCCGCGCCUCCCCCUCGGUGAGUUGUGCCCAGGACCCUGGGCGCUAAAGACAAAGGUCCAAGGGAUCCACAUCCAAGGAGUCACUGAGGUGGUCUGGGGGCACCGCAGGUCCCGGAUGCUGCUUAGUCAGCCUUCAGUGACAUAUGGAGCCACAAACAGAUGGUCAGUGUCACCAUGAUGUGUCCUCUGGUGGAAGCCUUUCUCCCAUGGUCACCAGAUCUCCAAAGCUAUGAAGCCAAGAAAGCAGAGAUAGAAGCAUCAAUUCCUGAUGUGGGGUACUUCGGGCAAACGGCACUUCCCCUGCAUUUCUCUGUGGUUGUUUUUCUCAUAAACAGGAAAAAAAAAAAACAAAAGCCUCUGUACCUUGAGGUAUGCCAGAAUAACUAGGUUAUAGUCUUUACAAUAAGUAAAGCAAUGAGAAUUUUCUGUCAGUUGCUGAUUUUCUAACAAAAAGAAUUUCAACCUUGACCUCUCUAACUGAAGACAUCGGUAGAUAUACCAUGCCUUUGUGAAUGUGGUAAUAUGUGAGAAAACUAUGCUUCAUCCGUCAUAAACAGAUUAAGUGCAAACUCAUUAACCUUGACAGUUGUGUAGGAGUUUUUCCCAUAUGAAUGCCUGUUAUGAACUGACUUGCUGGGCCUUCUGAAGCUGACUCUACUGCACUUGUUUCUUGCAGGAACAUUUUUGUUUUCUUUUCCAAAGCUUUUGUCAUCUGUUCUUCCUUUCACUUAUUCCUGAACACCUCUGUGAUAUGUCAGUUCCCUGGACUUUUCUACCACUUAUUUCUCAGCCUGAGAUUUGCAUGCAUCUGCAAACGUUGUUUGCUACAUUUAACUUUUAAGAUCUAGUUACUGUGAUGGUAUCAUAAUGGACCAGUGUGACAUUCUAUGGAUUACUAGAUGAUCAGAAUCUCUCUAAAGAAUCUCUUCAAGACAAGAGAGCAAUCAUAGCUUGGAAUUAGAGCACUAAGAGUAUAUUAUUGUUUCUGCCACAAGGCAACAGCAUUAAACAAUUAUCCUCAAUACAAUUUAGAAAAAAGUGGUAGGUCAAUAGUUGAAUUUCCAGUGCCAGAUACUACAUUGAUGUGUUUUAGCUAAAAUAUUACAUCUGAGCAACAUCACUAUAUGAAUAAGUGGGCAAUAGUGCCUGGUCACCCUCUAAGAUCCUUUCAAGUUUUGCCUUACUCAUAAAGGAGAGUUAAAUGUUAUCAGGACCCCUGGAGUGAGUCCCCAGUUUCCUGCAAAGCAUUACAGUGCAUGGCAAAAAGAAACAGCAAGAGACAAAUAGCAAUGCAGUGGAGCUCUGGGAUGGUUAGCAUUCUUGGGGAAUAGAAGGCCACGAGGCAGCUAGAACCUUAGUAUUUAUUGAUCACAUUCACACUGAGGAAAAUGGUGAUGGGAUUAUGGCCGGAUGUGCUAGAAAGUGGCAGGGCAGGCAAGGCUUGUAACCGAGGGAACAGAGCAUGCUUGUGAAAGGGACAGAGCAGCCAGAUUGAGGGUUGCAGUUAACGAGUAAACUGUUUUGUAGUCAGUUCUGGGAAGCAGUUUUCUCUGGAGUCACACGGGCCUCAGAGGAGGCGUUACCUCAUAUCUCAGCUCCACAGCCUCACAGCCCGCUUCUCUGGGCUUAACUGUGGCCAUUGUCAAGGAGCAGUGCUAGCCCAACACGCCACCCGCUUGCUUCCAUGAGGACACAUGCACAGCCUCAGCUAGACUCACCGUUUAAACCGAAAGCGAAUUUAUAGAAGUCCCCUCUACACAGUCUGCCCUGCUUGCACGUGAGCCCUGUCACGUUUAGGUCUGCAGGAGGGUAAUGUGGAGGUCCUCCACAAAGUGGAAUACACCACAAAUCACGACUUUAAGAGCCUUGCAGUGAUAUUCACUUUUACCACUGAAGAGCUUUAUUAAUUUCUGAAAUUAUCCUAGGAAUAUGGAAUUACCUUGUUAAAUAACUUGGGAAAUGAGCCCUCAAGGAACAUCCUGCCAUCUGGCUUCUGCCAAAAUAGCAUUCCUGUAAUAGUAGGAGAGCAGUGCUGGACUAGCAAGCUAGUCUCAGUUACACUCUGGGACUCAGAAAAUUACUACAAGGUGUGUCUACAAUACCUUAAGAUCUAGUGUGAGUUGAGUUCAUGUUGAGACAGUGUUUCACCUGUGUUAGAUCUGGUACAUGCUCUGAGUGAUGGGUUACAAAGCCUUAGGAUCUAAGAGUAAGGGUGUGAAUAGUAUGGUUUUGCUAGUGCACAAUGACUCUGGCAAAUGGAAACAUCUAUCUAUCUAUCUAUCUAUCUAUCUAUUAUCUAUCUAUCUAUUGUUUAUCUAUCUAUCUAUCUAUCUUACACUCCUACAUAUAAUCAAAGAAAUAAAUAUACAUGAAUAAUAUACACAUAUAUAUUUUCCAUGUGUUACUGAGAAGACCUAAAAGCAGUAAAUACCUAGGGAAAGCUUACAGGAAGAGUCCCAGCACACACACAAGAAAAGGUGAAGGCCAUGGCAGUGUCUUGUGUGGUAUGAUGAUGACAGAUAUGUGAUCAUGCACUUGCUGAAAGUCAUGGAGCUAUAUACCACAAAGACUGAAGCUAGCUGUAUGCAGAUAUAAAAUGAACCAUACAGACUAUUUGGAGAUGGUAUUAUUGGAUGCACACUAUAAUAAAUAGAUCUAGCUACAUUAUAAAUGUAUAUCACCUCACUAACCAAAGUGGGGCAAAUGAGCAAACUUUGGAAAAGAGUAUUUUCAAUGGAUGCUAUAUAGUACAGGAAAAAAGACUAUAAAUAAACAUUAUAUUACUGG
This 3149-nucleotide long non-coding RNA is filed under the name Chinchilla lanigera (long-tailed chinchilla). RNAcentral describes it as "lncRNA (ENSCLAG00000024712.1)". The record is from RNAcentral. Lineage: Eukaryota; Metazoa; Chordata; Mammalia; Rodentia; Chinchillidae.